Molecule: long non-coding RNA, 1008 nt
Organism: Eriocheir sinensis (Chinese mitten crab)
Lineage: Eukaryota; Metazoa; Arthropoda; Malacostraca; Decapoda; Varunidae
Exons: 4
Source: RefSeq, a predicted model, not a curated record
GAGAAAAUUAUUAAUAUUUUGACCUUCCCCGCUCUGUCUCGCUUCUCAUAUCCUUCUGCACACUUUUGUACACUUUUCCACACUUACCCACGUCACCCUGCACACUUAAACACGUUAUUAUGCCCCGAGUUCAAGUGUUCUGAAGACUUAACUGAUGCAAACUUUCCCUUCGUGUAUCGUUUUCUCCUUUCGUUAAUACUUAAUAGCAUAACCUGAUCUUAUAUGUCUCCCCUUAUCUGUUAUUUUGAGCGUGUUUUUACCAGUGAACUUGCUCUAUUUAUCCGUCGUCAAGUUCUAAGGUUGUCGUGUAUUAAAGUUCCAACACUAUGAUGACGUCACGGCCUCCAUCUUCCCCGCGGUCUGUUGAGGGUGGCGACACAGCGCUGUAUUUUUCUUGUUUUUUCAGGUUAUUAUAAAGUGCCAGGAAGCGCCAUGGUGUGGGAAGACAUAAGAAGAAGAGGAGGAAGAACAAGAGGAGGAGGAGGAGGAGGAUGAAUGGGACAAACAGGAAUCAAAUGAUACUGCCAGAAGAAGAAGAGGAGGAGGAAGAGGAUACAGAGGAAUCAGUUGUUGUUUCUUCUCUCCGUCUGUUGGUUCCUCCCAUGGAGGUAUAAUGGCUGCUGGAGUCCACAUCACCGGAAUCUCAGCUUCCAUUAAUUAUGUGGAGCAAUAUAUUAGCCACACACUCUCAACCCCUCUCGCUUCCUCUGCAGCCGCCACCACCCCAUAGGCCAGUUUCACAUGGAAAACUAUAGCAUCGAUCGGCGCCAUUGGUAACGAUCAAAACAAAGGAUCCCUAAGUGCCGAAAGUCUGUCAUAAGCAGCCUGAAUUUACUAAUUCACCCUAAAGUAACCUUACUCUGUCUUGAAUGACCCUAAACUAAUGUAAUUCACUCUCAUCUUACCUAAAACUACAGUUGAAUUACCCUAAACUUGCCUUAAAAUAAUCCCCUAAACGUAAUUCACUCCAAGGUAACCUGAAUCUGACCUAUCCUGACCUUACCUUAA